RNAcentral lists this ribosomal RNA (440 nucleotides) under uncultured bacterium. RNAcentral's name for it is "bacterial SSU rRNA". It matches the Rfam family "Bacterial small subunit ribosomal RNA", at positions 338 to 795 of the family's 1533-position model. The record is from RNAcentral.
CCUACGGGGGGCAGCAGUGGGGAAUAUUGCACAAUGGGGGAAACCCUGAUGCAGCAACGCCGCGUGAGCGAUGAAGGCCUUCGGGUCGUAAAGCUCUGUCCUAAGGGAAGAAUACUGACGGUACCUUCGGAGGAAGCCACGGCUAACUACGUGCCAGCAGCCGCGGUAAUACGUAGGGGGCUAGCGUUAUCCGGAAUUACUGGGCGUAAAGGGUGCGUAGGCGGCCCUUCAAGUCAGAGGUGAAAGGCUACGGCUCAACCGGAGUAAGCCGUGGAAACUGUAGGGCUUGAGUGCAGGAGAUGAGAGUUGAAGUCCCAGUGGAGCGGUGAAAUGCGUAGAUAUUGGGAGGAACACCAGUUGCGAAGGCGGCUCUCUAGACUGUAACUGACGCUGAGGCACGAAAGCGUGGGGAGCGAACAGGAUUAGAUACCCGGUUAGUC